GUAAAAUAUCAAGUAUAUGAGUGUAUACUUCAUGUUAAACAUAUAUAUACUGAUUUGAUAAGCAAAGACAACAUCGGCAGUAUUGACAGCAAAAUAGCCUACAGAGUAUUUUGUUCUAUAUUGACAGGUGCAACAUUUGAAAAUC
This is a long non-coding RNA of Etheostoma spectabile (orangethroat darter), 145 nucleotides long. RefSeq lists it as uncharacterized. The record is from RefSeq and is a predicted model, not a curated record. The transcript has 4 exons. NCBI's taxonomy places the organism in Eukaryota, Metazoa, Chordata, Actinopteri, Perciformes, Percidae.